Molecule: transfer RNA, 67 nt
Filed under: Marmota monax (woodchuck)
Lineage: Eukaryota; Metazoa; Chordata; Mammalia; Rodentia; Sciuridae
Description: tRNA.Ala
Source: RNAcentral
GUUGUGGCUCAGUGGUAGAGUGCUUCCUAGCAUGUGUGAGGUCCUGGGUUCGAUCCUCAGCACCGCA